Molecule: long non-coding RNA, 468 nt
Filed under: Sorghum bicolor (sorghum)
Lineage: Eukaryota; Viridiplantae; Streptophyta; Magnoliopsida; Poales; Poaceae
Description: long non-coding RNA (SBIC_LNC015198)
Source: RNAcentral
AUGGCUUCCAUGUGUGGUUGAUCCAGCUCGAUGGCGUCACCUUGAGGCGAUCGGAGAAGAUUCUGGAAAGACACGAGAGAAAAGGUGUCUCCUGGCUCUACCCCGCCAUGUCACCCUCCCUCCCGGCUGCAAAGUGUGCGGCGUCUUUGUCGUGUCCUGCUCCAGAACUUGGCGGCUUGCCGGCGUUCAGCACCUGCCCUUCACUCCACACGUUCUUCCAUUCCACGGCCGCAUUGCAUCGUCAACUUCAUUCGCCCUGGCCUGUGGCUCUGCGUAUGCAUGGUCAGCACCGUACCAUUCGAUCCCUCUAGGCCCUUGUUUAGUUGUAAUUUUUUUUUUUUAAAAUAGACAUAUACAUGUGUCUUAAAAUUCGAUGUGACGAGAAAACUAAAAAAUUUUACAAAAUUUAUAAAGAACUAAACACGGCCUUGCUUUGUUGCUGCUCCCUGUUCAGUCCAGUGGGGAUAU